UGGCAGCUCCCAAGACCCGAGGGUAAGAGUCCUGGGUGCCUGGGACCUACCAGGCCAUCCUGCAUCUCCCAUGGGCCUCCCGACCCAGGGACCCCCAUUCUUAUCUGAGAGGACCACCUCUUCCUGAAGCUGGAACCUGAUACUUAUUGUUGCCAACUGAAACCAGGAGAAUCUUGAUGACCUGGAUGAGCUUGAGGCCUCCUCCUCUGUCUCUUCCCAAUCCCCAGAGCUUUGCACACACUGUAUUUAUCAGAGUAUGUAAGUAUCUGUCAUGGCCACUGCCUCCUCCUUUGGACUGCCUGUCUGCCGUGGUUUUUGAGGGACCCCACUGGUGCGUAAAGUAAGUGGUUGGCUGAAUAAAGGAGUGAAAAGCUGAAGGAACCCACUCAUCCAAGCAUUUGGCUUUGUCAGCAUUGUGACUUGGAGGCUGGAGGCAGAGCAAGGAAGACAGUGGGAGAGAGCCUUCCCUUGCAGGACUGUAGUUAGCAAUGAACAUAAAAACAUCCGCUGAAAUUGUAACUUCAGACGUCCACCUCAGAUACUUUGUAACAUAAGUAUAUCCCUAAUAAUGCAUGAACCACACUCAUACUUAA
RNAcentral lists this long non-coding RNA (593 nucleotides) under Rattus norvegicus (Norway rat). RNAcentral's name for it is "long non-coding RNA NONRATT019919". The record is from RNAcentral. Lineage: Eukaryota; Metazoa; Chordata; Mammalia; Rodentia; Muridae.